CCUACGGGGAGCAGCAGUGAGGAAUAUUGGUCAAUGGACGCAAGUCUGAACCAGCCAUGCCGCGUGCAGGAAGACGGCUCUAUGAGUUGUAAACUGCUUUUGUACAAGGGUAAACGCUGAUACGUGUAUCUGUCUGCAAGUAUCGUACGAAUAAGGAUCGGCUAACUCCGUGCCAGCAGCCGCGGUAAUACGGAGGAUUCAAGCGUUAUCCGGAUUUAUUGGGUUUAAAGGGUGCGUAGGCGGUCGGAUAAGUUAGAGGUGAAAUCCCGGGGCUCAACUUCGGAAUUGCCUCUGAUACUGUUCGGCUAGAGAGUAGUUGCGGUAGGCAGAAUGUAUGGUGUAGCGGUGAAAUGCUUAGAGAUCAUACAGAACACCGAUUGCGAAGGCAGCUUACCAAGCUACUUCUGACGUUGAGGCACGAAAGCGUGGGGAGCAAACAGGAUUAGAUACCCUUGUAGUC
This 460-nucleotide ribosomal RNA is filed under the name uncultured bacterium. Its description in RNAcentral is "partial 16S ribosomal RNA". It matches the Rfam family "Bacterial small subunit ribosomal RNA", at positions 338 to 795 of the family's 1533-position model. The record is from RNAcentral.